GAUGAACGCUGGCGGCGUGCCUAAUACAUGCAAGUCGAGCGAACGGACGAGAAGCUUGCUUUUCUGAUGUUAGCGGCGGACGGGUGAGUAACACGUGGAUAACCUACCUAUAAGACUGGGAUAACUUCGGGAAACCGGAGCUAAUACCGGAUAAUAUUUUGAACCGCAUGGUUCAAAAGUGAAAGACGGUCUUGCUGUCGCUUAUAGAUGGAUCUGCGCUGCAUUGGCUAGUUGGUAAGGUAACGGCUUACCAAGGCAACGAUGCAUAGCCGACCUGAGAGGGUGAUCGGCCACACUGGAACUGAGACGCGGUCCAGACUCCUACGGGAGGCAGCAGUAGGGAAUCUUCCGCAAUGGGCGAAAGCCUGACGGAGCAACGCCGCGUGAGUGAUGAAGGUCUUCGGAUCGUAAAACUCUGUUAUUGGGGAAGAACAUAUGUGGAAGUAACUGUGCACAUCUUGACGGUACCUAAUCAGAAAGCCACGGCUAACUACGUG
Molecule: ribosomal RNA, 497 nt
Filed under: uncultured bacterium
Lineage: Bacteria
Description: partial 16S ribosomal RNA
Rfam family: Bacterial small subunit ribosomal RNA
Source: RNAcentral